AACGAACGCUGGCGGCAGGCCUAACACAUGCAAGUCGAGCGAGGACUUCGGUCCUAGCGGCGGACGGGUGAGUAACGCGUGGGAAUGUGCCCUUCUCUACGGAAUAGCCCUGGGAAACUGGGAGUAAUACCGUAUACGCCCUAUUGGGGAAAGAUUUAUCGGAGAAGGAUCAGCCCGCGUUGGAUUAGGUAGUUGGUGGGGUAAUGGCCUACCAAGCCGACGAUCCAUAGCUGGUUUGAGAGGAUGAUCAGCCACACUGGGACUGAGACACGGCCCAGACUCCGACGGGAGGCAGCAGUGGGGAAUCUUAGACAAUGGGGGCAACCCUGAUCUAGCCAUGCCGCGUGAGUGAUGAAGGCCUUAGGGUUGUAAAGCUCUUUCAGCUGGGAAGAUAAUGACGGUACCAGCAGAAGAAGCCCCGGCUAACUCCGUG
Molecule: ribosomal RNA, 433 nt
Filed under: uncultured bacterium
Lineage: Bacteria
Description: partial 16S ribosomal RNA
Rfam family: Bacterial small subunit ribosomal RNA
Source: RNAcentral